ACCCUGCAUGUCCCUUUCAAAUAAUCGCCCGGAACCGGAAUCCUGCGGUCCGCGUUUGUGUCCCGAUCACCGGCGCUAACAGUAUCGGUAAUAGGCCCUGGGCAAGAGUGGGCACUUAGCCAACGCACCCACUUCCCAUUCGGCCAUAUAAAUGUCUGCGUAGGCCGGUGCGAACUUCUUGCCCAUGGCCGUUCCCGAUAUCUGUAAGUGAUGUUCCCCAUUGAAGAUGAAAUCGUUCUUUGUCGGGCUGAUGUGCAAAAGUUGAAGCAGUUGUUCAUCCGGCCGCGAAGGAUCUGCAUUUCCUAAAAGUAUGUUGCUCACCGCCUGUAGUCCAGCCUCCGUAUCAUUAUUUGUAUAUAGGCUGUCCACAUCAAUUGUAAAUAAAUAUGUAUCGGAGUUACAAUGAUAUCUUUAACUUCGUACGUAUCUUUAAUAUAACUCGGAUGACCAUGCAACAGAGGGUUCAGGUAAUAAUCAAUAUACUGUGCAAUAUUGUACGACUCACUCCCACAGUCACACACGAUGGGGCGUCCAGGCGGGACCUCGCAAGGGACAGUCCAUGUCUCCGGAUCCUUGUGGAUUUUAGCUGCAAGGAUGCAGGCAUGGACGUCCCUGUAGAGGUCCCGCUGGUCAUCCCGGUUGGGGAGAGGAAUAAAUGUUAGGCCUCUCUCCAACACUUCCACCUGUGCCUCCGAAAGCUGAAAGGUUCACCUCCCCCUCCCCUAUUUCCCGGCCCUCCCGGUUCC
This is a long non-coding RNA of Megalops cyprinoides (Indo-Pacific tarpon), 746 nucleotides long. RefSeq lists it as uncharacterized. The transcript has 4 exons. The record is from RefSeq and is a predicted model, not a curated record. NCBI's taxonomy places the organism in Eukaryota, Metazoa, Chordata, Actinopteri, Elopiformes, Megalopidae.